GGUUUACCAAGCAACGGUUAUGGUGGGCACUCUAAGGAGACUGCCGGUGACAAACCGGAGGAAGGUGGGGAUGACGUCAAGUCAUCAUGGCCCUUACGGCCUGGGCUACACACGUGCUACAAUGGUCGGUACAAAGGGUUGCCAAGCCGCGAGGUGGAGCUAAUCCCAUAAAACCGAUCGUAGUCCGGAUCGCAGUCUGCAACUCGACUGCGUGAAGUCGGAAUCGCUAGUAAUCGUGAAUCAGAAUGUCACGGUGAAUACGUUCCCGGGCCUU
This 274-nucleotide ribosomal RNA is filed under the name uncultured Pseudomonas sp. RNAcentral's name for it is "partial 16S ribosomal RNA". It matches the Rfam family "Bacterial small subunit ribosomal RNA", at positions 1113 to 1382 of the family's 1533-position model. Lineage: Bacteria; Pseudomonadati; Pseudomonadota; Gammaproteobacteria; Pseudomonadales; Pseudomonadaceae. The record is from RNAcentral.